RNAcentral lists this long non-coding RNA (4466 nucleotides) under Heterocephalus glaber (naked mole-rat). Its description in RNAcentral is "lncRNA (ENSHGLG00100041259.1)". The stretch from base 3239 to 3313 matches the Rfam family "mir-101 microRNA precursor family". The record is from RNAcentral. Lineage: Eukaryota; Metazoa; Chordata; Mammalia; Rodentia; Bathyergidae.
CACGGACGGUUCCACGGCGCUACCAGGGCCCGGCGGUGGCGCCUGCGGGUGGGAGGCACAGCGGGGGCGGAAGCGCUCAGACACGCGCCGGGACCGCGCCCCCGCCCCUUUGUCCCGGUCACGGGACCCGGAAGCCGCCGUCACGUGCGCGCGGGAUAAACACAGAAAGAUGGCGCCGGCCACGCUGCGCGGCGCUGCUGCGUCACAGCGAUCCUCCGCGGACCGCGGGGAGAACAAAGGCGGGGCGGCCGCCCGGCGCAGCCGAGAACAGCAAGAGCUGAAAAUAGAACCACCUUGGGCUCCGGAGCAGGAAGCUGCCCAGGAGCGGUACUGAGGACUGACGCCGAGGGACGCUGGCGCCCCGCGGGUGGCCAUGGCGACGGGCCCCCUUCUCUAGGCUGGGGGCAGACUCUGAGGUUUUGCUGUAUAGCCCAGGCUGGCCUUGAACUUACAGCGGAUCCUCCUGCCUCAGCCUCCCGAGUGCUGGGAUCCCAGGCGUGCCCAGUGUGGCCUUGCAGUCCCUUGCCUCGGGCCUCUGGGCAUCUGUUGGACAGCUCCAGUCCCAGCGCUGCCCUUUCUCCUGAGUUGGCUUCAGAAGAGGCAGCCCCUGAAGCACUCCCUUCAGAGAGGUCAGGACCGAAGGGUCUUGCUGUGUAGCUGUGGCUGGACUUGAACCAAGAGCAAUCCUCCUGCCUCAGCCUCCCGAGUGCUGGGAUGACAGGCGCCACCAUGCCCAGCUUAGAAACCAGCAUUUUAAAAGACCAGGUGCUGCAGUCGGAUGGGCCGGGGAUUUAGCUCAGUGGUUCCGGCACCUGCCUCACAAGCGCAAGGUCCCGAGUUCAAUCCCUGGUACCAAAAAAAAUACCAGGUGCUGCAGUCGGAGGGACCGUGCAGAUCAGCCAGACACAGCGCUUUCAGGUGCUUAGCCGGAGGCGAACAUGUUGAAUCUAACACGUAUAUUUUGGACCAGUUAUUGAAGGGUCCACUGCCGACAUGAACUCAGAAUAAAGCUAACUGUGCAGUGGCUGGGGAGGGGCACACGAAAACGAGUGUGCUCGGUGCAUGAAGUGAAGCGUGCGUGCGGGUGUCCGGCCCAGUGAAGGUUGCACCUCAGGGUCUUUGUGGGCUGGGCACCCAGUCCCUGUCUCUGUCCCUGUCCAGGAACUACGGCUCCCACUUUUGGCUGGGUGCCCAGGGCGGGGCCCAGCUUUUCCUUGCUGUAUUUUUUAAACCAUUUCAGGAGAAGAAAAAAGCAAAUCUAUAACCCUGGCUUCAAGUUUCCUGGAGGGCUGUGGCACAAGGUAGCUUUUCUUUUUUAACUCUGAUUUCUGCCCAUCCGAGGUUGCAGUCCUUCCUCCAGGGAGCUGGUUCAAGACAUCUCACACCUCCGCCUUCGCCCCUUCUCCUCCCUGUCUCUCCAUUGAGUCUUCAGAGCCUCUGGUGUGAAGCAGAGAUGCAGCAGGAGGCAGGCGCACAUGCUGCGCACUGCACAAGCAGAAGUGUCGCUCCCUGGCACUCUGACGGUGUCCUCAAGGAGUAGGCUGUGAGUUUCAGACUAGGAAAAGCUAUCCCAGAGAGCAGCGAGCUGAAAUCAGACUGCAGCUCAGCUCAGCAGCACUUCAGAUGCGUGGCCUUCAGCACCCCAUUCCUCAGCUCCCAGUGUUGGAUCCCCACUGCUGGCUCUGCAGGCUGUUGCCGUGUCUCCGUCCUCCAGAAGUACCUGCCUCCGAGGUGGGUCCUGUGCUCACGCAUGGGGCGAGGUCACGGUGUUUGCCACUUGACCACAGCCUGGACAUCAGCUCCCUCUCUGGAAGAACCUAGUUCCCACCCCGGUCCGCUUUGUCCCUCUCAGAUGCCAUGUACUUCCUCACUGUACAAGUCCAUACAGUCCCUUGUUCUUUAGUUAAAACAGUUUAACCUUUGUUUGGGGAUUUUUUUUCAGACAGGAUUUUGUUAUGUUUCCCAGGCUGGCCUUGAACUCAUGGCAAUCCUCCUGCCUCAGCCUCCUGAGUGCCAGGUUACAACAGUUUAAUUCUUACAAGAACAGUAUGUAUUUGAAAAAUGUUUCAAGUAGAUUUUACUUUUAAAAAAAAUUCCAAGGAGAAACAAAAUUGCAUUUUAAAGCAUUUAUUAGUUAUAAAAUAAUCAUUUAAAUUUUUUUUUCCUCGAGACUGCUUUCAAGUUGCACUGAGAGAAUGCUAAUGUAAAUAUUCACAAGAUAGUUGUUUGCUUUUUAUUAUUACAAAUGCUUAGUCUUUUUUUCCUUCCAAUUUAGAUAGAAAAAGUGAAAGAGAAAAACAUUGCCUAAAGGAAAUAGCCUUUACAAUGGACCUUUGACUUACGAACUCAGUCCGUUCCAGAGGGAUGGUUGUAACUCAGGUUGGUCAGUGGAGGCUCGGGCUCCCCUACACAGCCUUCACAGUCUCUCUCCUGCACACAGGCAGAUCUCAGUGUCCUCAGAGAGACACUGGCCGGGGAUUUCCCAGUGAGCCCCAUUCAGGAGAGGAUGCUGUCCUGUUCCUUCCAGACUCUUUAAGGGUUAAGUCUGCAUGUGAGACCAUCUGGAAGCACAGGUGGCCAGCAUUCAGGUCAUAACUCAAGACUUUGGUUGUAAGUUAAAACUAAAAUCCUGGUCAAGACCCAAGUUGUUCGUAUAUCAGGCCGGUUGUAACUCAAGGGCCCACUGUUGCACUAUUUACUGAGUGUCUGGCAGUUGCAUGGCUUCGCCGUGGGUCACCCCGAUGUCCUGUGGGCCCCAGGAGAAGCUCAGGACCAAGGCCUGGCGGGCACAGCACCAUCCCUGCUGCCUUUCCUUCGGCAGCUGGGGACGCCUCUGCCCUCAGUCGCUGUUCCGGUUCUGUGUGUAGGAGGAGCCAGCUGCUCUCUGGGAGCCUCUGGUCUGCCUGAAAGGCGCUGCCCCAUCAGUCUGGAGCAGAAAUCCAAGAACAAGCGCACCUGCCUGUCGGAUCUGCUCAGACAAAACAGCGGAGACCUCAAAACACAGCGGAAACGGCGAGUCACCGCCUCCAGAGGAUGCUCUGCCACUGAUUUCAGCCCAGACGCCCUGUGCCCCUCAGGAGCUGGAGUCCCUGAGUCAGCCAGAUGGCAGGGCUCGACUCAGGAAGUCAUCUGGGAGCCGCAGGUUCUGAUGCUGAGCCCAGGGAUAGAGCUGGCUGCUGCUCUCCGAGGGACCUCAGAGCCCGGCCCACACCUCGUGGGACCCACAGAGCCUCCUGGCUGCCCUGGCUCAGUUAUCACAGUGCUGAUGCUGUCCACUCUAAAGGUACAGUACUGUGAUAACUGAAGGAUGGCAGCCACCUUGCUGCCCGAGGUGCCCGGAACCACAGAGGAGGAGGAGGAAGAAGGGGCCCAGUGAUGGCCCCGAAACCCAUGCGCAGCCCCUGGCUGGAGAGAAGGUUAUUCUGGCUCUUCGCUGUGCUUUGUUCAUUUUUGGGUUUUUUUGAGUUAGGUCGCCAUGCCGUUCAAACUGGCCUUGAAGUCACUGGAGCCCAGGCUGGUCCUGGACUCGAGGUGAACCUCCUGCCUCAGCCUCCUGCGUGCUAGGGUUGCCCCAGCCCUGCUCUCCUUGUCUCGUUUUAUAACAUGGGCAGAAAACUCGAGGUGGUUUGUUGGCAAACACGGAAGGGCCAGGAACCUUGAGUCUUCAGGGGUCAUCGCUGGGGAUGUACCGGGUAUGAGUCAGGGGGCCGGGCAUGGCAGUGCCCGCCUGUAAUCCCAGACUCGGGAGGCUGAGGCAGGAGGACUUCUGGGAGUUCAAGGCCAGUGUCCAGUUGCCGUGUCUCUGGGGAUUGGACAGCGACCUGUCUGUCCUGUGUCCGGAGAGAUUUACAUCACAUCUUCUCCCAAAAGUGUGUACUGUUACUGCUGCUGUUGUCACCUUUCAUAUGAAAAUAAAGUGUGAAGUUAUUUCAUUUUGUCACAUAAAGAAGGACCACUCUGGGAGCUGGGUGUGGGGGCCACACCGGUAAUACUCGGGAGGCCGAGCGAGGCAGCAGGAUCCCUGCAGGUUCAAGGCCAGCCUGGGCUCCAGAGUGAGACCCCCAUCUCAAAAAAUUAAUAACCAAGCAAGUACAAAGCAACCCCCACACCGGGUUUUAUGCUUCCCAGCCUCUGCAUCCUCUCCAGAGUCUGCAGGGCUGCAGGGCCCAGGUUCAGGUGGCUGGGGCGGGACCUCACUUCCCUGCAGCUCCAUCUGCGUGACUCUUGCCCCAAGGAAGUGAAUGUAGGGCCUCACAGACAUUGACACACUUCUGCUGAUGCCGCCCAGGUGUACAUGUGAGGAUGGGUAGGGGAGCAAGAUGUGACACGUGUAGUGGGUGGAGUAUUACUCAGCCCUGAAAAGGCAGAGUUCCUCACUGCAGUGUGGUGAGUCUUACAGAUGCUGUGUCGGUAAAAGAAGCUAGCAUGACAAGAUGGGUUCCGUGUGUCCCCACAUGCACUUCCAG